AGAUAAUGCUUGGUCCAAAAGUUUUACCGAAAUGGAUGGGUAAAAAUCUACAAUGUCAAACGAAAUAAAACUAUAUGUCUUUCUUUGUCCUUUAUAUUUCCAAACCAUUCAAUUACUUAAUUGAAACAUAGUUUUAUUUCGUUUGACAUCGUCGAUUUUUACUCAUCCAUUUCGGAAAAACUUUUGGACCAAGCAUUAUCU
Non-coding RNA from Paramuricea clavata, 201 nucleotides. Lineage: Eukaryota; Metazoa; Cnidaria; Anthozoa; Malacalcyonacea; Plexauridae. The record is from the annotation of a GenBank genome assembly.